RNAcentral lists this long non-coding RNA (12118 nucleotides) under Nicotiana tabacum (common tobacco). Its description in RNAcentral is "long non-coding RNA (NTAB_LNC007788)". The record is from RNAcentral. Lineage: Eukaryota; Viridiplantae; Streptophyta; Magnoliopsida; Solanales; Solanaceae.
UUCAAAAGCAUAGUCUCUUGUUGUCACGAUCCAAAAUCCAACUAGUCGUGAUGGCACCUAACUCAACCCGCUAGGUAAGCCAAAUGACAAUAAACUCAGUUCAAAUGAAAAUAAUAUGAGUCAAUAUGCAAAAUAACUGAAGCUCUAUACAAAAACCCAAUGACUGGUAGUACAAGUCAUGAGCCACUAAGAUUUAGAAUUUACAAAACUGAUACAAAAUAAUUACAACAUCUGUUUGGAAUGUACAUAAACAGAAUUCAAAUCUAAAGCUACCAAGGAAAAAUGGUAGCCAUAUCCGAAACGCAUGUACUUCUUCGGUGCCAACUCCCGACUCUCGUCAUCCACAUCAUCUCAAGCUCCAAGAUCUGCACGCAAGGUGCAUAAGUGUAGUAUGAGUAUAACCGACCUUAUGUACUCAAUAAGUAUCGUAACUAACCUUGACGCGGUAAUAGAAGCAAGAAUCAUAAAUGAUACUAUAUGCGGUAAAAAUCAGAGGGUCCGAUUUUAUAGUCAUUAUGACGCUUCGUAGGCACGUCUCCAAAGGCUCGAGACAAUGGUCGAGGUUCAACCCGAGGGGUUAUCAACAAUUAACCUCGGGACAGUGCAGAUCAGUGGUUAUGAUGUAAAAAUGGGAAGUUCCAGGACACGUGAUUUAGGCUGACCAAGUCUAUUAGGCUAGUAUGAGCCCGUACCGUAGCAUUAAAUAGUUGUACCAGCCAUAUACCUUUGUAAUAAAUGUAUUUGUACUAUGUUGGGAUUCCCCCCUCAUAUAUAAAGGGGACCCUUAUCAUUUUUUUUACACAUAUACAACAUCUAAUACAAGAAGAAGAACAUUCUCUGCUCUCUAACUUAAACACAUUCUCUCUUGAUUAUAUUAUUUACAUUUAUUGCUUACAUUUAUUGUGUUUCAUUAAUUGUUCUUCAUUUACUGCCCACUAUUGAUCAUAGAGAGCCUUCAUCAAAGCUCUCAAAACUGUUAGUCCUUCAUCGGUUGUCCACAACUUAGUAUCGAGCUCGACCUCGAGGCCCCGUAUAACCUGUUUCGAGGCCCCGAUUCUUAAUCACUCGGUUUGCCUAAACAUAUUUCUUUCAAGUUCUUAUCUCAUUUUUUAGUCUCAUACUUAGUAUCUACUGCCUAACAACUAGUAUAAAAAUAAAUCACGUAUUUUUAGAACCACAAAAUCAAAUCUAAUUUUAAUUACUAUUUUCAAUGUAAACAGUGUGGCGCCCACCGUGGGACUAAAAAUAAUAGUGAUUGUUUUCUUGCUGGUUUACUAUAUAACGCAAGUUAUCUUUCACACUUUUUCUUGUCCAAGAAUCUUUGAUUUCAGGUCAAAUUAUCUAACUCAGUAAACGCACAUGAAAACAACGGUCUGGAGGACCACGAAGAGAAUGGUGUAGUUGUUCCAGGUGUUGGUAUAACACCACGAAACCCUGAAGAACCAAUUCCCGUAGAUGUGAUCCCGCUCAACGCUCAACACGUCGAUAUCAGCUACCACACCAAUAGGAGUAUACGCCAAUAAAACCAACAAUAAGAUCAGAAAAUCCCAGUGCGAGGCGAGCACAAGGUUAGCCUUCACGUUAUUUUUGAGAUGUUACAAGCGCACCGGAGACGGCUCCUCGAGCCGAGCAGGUACCGGAAAUAUCGAGUAACAAUGGGUCGGCGGCCGACCCCGCUAUUAUGAAGAUGCUCUAAGACCUCACAAAGAGGAUUAAAUCGGGCGAAAAGAUGAUAGAAGCUAAUGACAAAAAGGUGGAGACCUACAAUUCAAGGUUCGACCAGAUCCCGGGCGCACCCCCGAUCCUGAAGGAUGUUUAUUCGAAGAAGUUCGUACAAAAGCCAUUCCCGUCAAGUGCGGCUCCGAAGCCCAUACCGAAGAAAUUCAGAAUGCCCGACAUCCCGAAGUACAACAGGACCUCGGAUCCUAACGAGCACGUCACUACUUACACUUGUGCCGUGAAGGGAAACGACCUUAGGGACGACGAGAUCGAAUCCAUCCUGUUGAAGAAAUUCAGGGAAACACUUUCAAAAGGGGCUAUGAUCUGGUAUCACAACCUAUCCCCAAAUUCAAUAAAUUUAUUUGCCAUGCUGGCAGAUUCUUUUAUAAAGUCACAUGCCGGUGCCAUCAAGGCUACAAGGAAAUCCGACGUCUUCAAAAUCAAACAAAGAGAAAACGAGAUGUUGCGGGAGUUCGUAUCUCGCUUUCAAAUGGAGCAAAUGGAAUUACCACCAGUAUCCGAUGGCUGGGCAGUACAGGCCUUCACCUAAGGCUUAAACGAAUGAAGCUCGGUGGCAUCGAAGCAGAUGAAGCAGAAUUUAGUUGAAUACCCCGCGUGACUUGGUCGGAUGUCCAUAACCGAUAUCAAUCGAAGAUCAGGGUCGAGGACGACCAACUGGGAGCCCCAUCGGGCUCGGUAUACACAAGAAGACUCCUGACAAAUGAGCCAAAGCCAAACAAAGAAAGGUACCAACCAAACACCGAAGAUAGGAGAAACUCCCCAAGGCAUAACAUACCCCGAAAUGAUCGAAGAACAGACCGAGGUCAGAAUCCUCGGGGAAUCGUGAGCAGAGUCGGAUUCGACAGACACACAGGAACGAUAGAGGCACCCCGCCUGUCGGAAUACAACUUCAAUGUUGACGUUUCAGACAUCAUAUCUGCCAUCGAUAAAAUCAAAGACACCAGGUGGCCAAGACUUGUACUAUCAGACCCGUCGCAGAGGAACCCCAACUUAAUGUGCGAAUUUCACAGCACACACGGUCAUAGGACCGAAAAUUACAGACAACUCCGAGAAGAAGUAGCCCAGCUACUCAGCAAAGGGCACCUCCGAGAGUUCCUUAGCGACCGAGCCAAAAAUCAAUUCCGGGAAAGAGAGGCGAACAUGAAGAAUGAGACAAAUAAGCUGCAACAUGUCAUCCACAUGAUCAUUGGAGGAAUCGACAUCCCGUAGGAACCCAUUAUCAAAAGAACAAAAAUAUCCAUCACCAGGGAGAAGCGAACUCAGGGUUACAUACCCGGAGAUUCUCUCACAUUCAGCAACGAGGACAUCGAGACCCUGUCUCAACCUCAUAACGAUGCCUUGGUAAUUUCUUUUCUUGUGAAUACAUUUCAAAUUAAGCGUGUGCUUGUGGAUCUAGGUAGCUCGGCCAACACUAUCAGGUCAAGGGUGUUGGAGCAGCUCGGACUGCUCGAUCAGAUCGUACCCGCCUCUCGAGUCCUUAACGGAUUCAACAUGGCAAGCGAAACAACGAAAGGGGAAAUCACCCUCCCAGUCAACGUGGCCGGCACGACCCAAAAUGUCAAAUUCCAUGUCAUAGAAGGAGACAUAAGGUACAAUGCCUUGCUCGGAAGGCCAUAAAUACACUGUAUGAGAGCAAUACCAUUAACCCUUCAUCAAAUGAUGAAGUUUCCAAUGAAGGACGAAAUAAAAACCAUGUAUAGGGAAUAACAUGCAGCGAGGGAAAUGUUCGUGGUACACGAUGUGGCACCGGCGUCAACACCCCCAACAUCGAAGGAGCCAAAGGAUAAGCAAACAGUGAAGUAGAAAUAGUGAGACACAUUCUCGGCUACACCCGAGUAAAACAAGCAAAGGACCAUGCCGUGUCCUCGAAGCAAACUUUUGAAGCAUAUCGAGGCUCAAAGCGCCAUCACCACUGAGGUAUAACCAUAUCCCUUUUAUUUACAUCUUACAUUAACCUUUGUGCAAAUGUCCAAUCAGAACAGUCGAAGUGUUGUCCAACUUGAAGACCUUAAGGUUUUAAAGUAUACGUUGCACUCUUUUCCUUCGAUCGGGUUUUAUCCCAAGAAGGGAUUUACCGAUAAGGUUUUUAACGAGGCAACACCUAUAUGCUACCUAAGGAGAACUUAACAAGUAUUCAAGGCUUCUCUCCGAUCAACCUCGAACACUGGGGGGCAUCCCCCCAGAAGAUCACCUUCUCGAAGAAGUCAAGAUGAGCCAAAAAGGGUCUCAAUAGGAAAAUGAUGUAUCGGGCCAAACAGUCGAAUGAACCAUGUCCGCGUAGAAUAAUUGAGCCCUUUACGGCAAAAACAUAUAUACUUGUACCAGGUAAUCGAAGAAUAUUUUCCCUCCAUCAAAACUUUUUGAGCUUCAAAGAAGUAUGCCACUUUUACAAGAAAUGGCUCCAGAGCCAGAAAUUUCCCGAACACUCGGGGACUAACGCCAAAAAUUCGAGGCCACAUGACCUCCGGGUCCGAAACUUCGAACUCGUAAGCCCUCAAUGAGGCAAUACUAAGUUUACAAGGAACGGCUCCGGAGCCAAGAAACUUUCGAUGACUUGGGGACUGUCGCCGACUGUCACCCCCAUCGAUUUGUCGAAAACCCGAGGCUAUAAGACCCCAUGCGGGCAACCUCGAGCUCAAGCAAGGCAUGAAUUAUACUUGUACUAAGUAACCAAAUCUGUAAGACCUCAAGCAAGGCGUGAAUUAUACUUGUACCCAGUAACCAAAUCUAUAAGACCUUACAAAAGGCAUAAAUCCCGAUCUUAAAGUUAAGGCUAUACAUUCGAACUUGUAAGACCCCUAAAAAGGCAUACCCUCGAUGUAAACGCUGAAACUACUUCACUCGGGGACUGAAAGGCUCUGGCCAAAUACAAUGACUCCGCUCACAAGGUUCCAGACAAACUCACGCAACUCGGGGACACCCGACCAUUGCUACAAAAUCACAAGCCUUCAAUUACUUUGAAAAAACUUCGAAAAGAAUCAAUUAAUCAGGCUACCCUUGGCAUAAACAAAAGAGCUUCGAUCAUAUAAGCUCCAAACAAUAGGCUUCAAAAAUGGUAAUUCAGCCAUCAUGCGAAACCUCCCGAGGUGCUCAUUUAUCGCUAUACAAUGAUUCACAAUCGAGGUUCUUAUCGAGUCAUCGAAGAGCCGGGCGAACACAAAACUUCAAAAAGUCUUUAGCGAGGAAAAAAUAAAGCCUACAUUAGAGGUCGUACUGACCCAAUGCGUAAGAGCCACUAUUGCCAGCCUAUAUUAGAGGUCAUACUGAUCCAACGCAUAAGAACCACUGUCACCAGCCUAUAUUAGAGGUCGUACUGACCCAAUACGUAAGAGCCACUGUCGCCAGUUUAAAAUUAAAGGUCGUGCCGACCCAAUGCGUAAGAGCCACUGUCGCCAGCUUAAAAUUAAAGGUCGUACCGACCGUACGUAUAAGAGCCUAAGAGUCAGCUUAAAAUUCAAAAACUUAAGGGUCAAUGAGCUCGAGUCAAAAUCCGACUCGAAAACUGAGCCCGAAAUAGUUAACUAAAAAUGCCUAAGGGGAAAUGCGUAAGAGCCUACAAGCCAGCCCAACGAGCCUCAAGGCCGAUUUGCAAACCUUAGGGUUUUACCUCGAAGUCCAGUUCACCUGGACAAUGAUCGACGAACGUAUAAGUUCAAAACAAAGAAAAACAUACUCAAGCAAAGGGAAAUUCAUGGAAGGCGAAAAUCGAAAGGUUACUUUAUUUAUACACAUAUGAAACAAUGCAAGGCUACAUUUGCAAAUGCUCUCUAAGAGCACUAUACAAAGAAUCAAAAAGAAAAAGCCUGGUCUAUUUUCCCCCCGGGGAUUGCGGCCCAAUCGACCUCUUCUCCAUUAUCUUCGGCAUCAGAUACGAGGAAUUUGGCGUUGUAUUCAUCCUCAUUGGCCUGUGCUAUCUCCUCCGAGAGAUCGAAGCCCCUAGCGUGAAUCUCUUCGAGGGUUUCCCUCCGAGAUUUACACCGGGCAUAUUCAUUACUUCUACUCUCUCUAUCGAAAGCACCUCUCAACUUAGCUCGAGCAUCAGCAUCAUCUUUUAAAUAGACGACCACUUUCUUGUUUGCCUUAGCCCGAAUCUAUUCAGCUUCAGCCCGGGUGUCCACGACCUCGGCCUUCAUCUCCAAAAGUCAGACUCGAGCCUUGCAAUUCUGCUCGUUUGAACUGAGCUAUUUUCACGGGCGUUCUGGAGCUGUACCUUAAGGGCAAAAACCUUGGCCAAAGUAUUCUUCUUGGCCGCAAUAUGGGCAUCUAUCUAAGCCUUUAGCUCGUUACACUCACGCUUGGCCUGGCCAACCUCGCCCCUUGGCAUUCCAGAUCCUCUGUCUUGAUCUGCAACUAAAGUAUCAAAAUAUUAAUCUCUGAAGAUAGGAGAAGAAGCAUGCAUUCCCUAAAGGUUACCUGUCUCUCAAGGUGGCUUUCGUAGUUCAGGAUCCGAUUCGCCUUGUACCGCAGGUAUACCAACUCAUCUCCCCUUUUAUCACAAAGAAGCCUGAGGGAUUUCUCCCCAUCCAAGGCUUUCCUCAAACUGGCUUCACAGCGGAGCAGCUCGGACUUGAGCUUAUCAAAGGCCUAUGAAAAAAGAAGCUCAAUGAGAAAACAAAAAUGUAAAAUUAAAAGACCAGCCAAAGCUCACCAGCAAACAAAGUCGUUGAGCCUCCUCAAAGGUUGAGCAUGCAUCUACUGGCCUGGUCCCACCGGCCCCAGUUGAACUAAUCUCGGUAGGGACAUGGUCGCUUGAGACCCUGCUUGAUUUAGGCGGCCCCUGAUUUCGAUCAUCCUUCUAAGUACCUUCGACAGGAGGGGAGGACGAUUCCCUCGAAGUACCUUCGACAGGAAAUGAAGACGGCAGCAUGGGAGGAACCACUUUUCCAAGGCUAGAAGCCUCAGAUGCCGCAGGCUCAGCGGAUAUAUCUUCUUUGAGUCUCCGAGCAGGGCUUGCCUCGCUAUGAGCACCCUCGUCCUUCAAGGACUCAUUUCGUUUGUUAUCGUUACUCGACCCUAAAGCCGACGAUUCUUCCUCCUCCCCGAGGGGGAACGGUCUCAUCUCAAAAAAUUCUCCGACGCCUGCGGUGAUGGAGUUAGUACACAUAAAAAAAGUACCUUUCAAAGAAAACAAGCCACACAGUACGUACCAUGAUGUUUUGCCUUUGAUCUACCCUUGCAUAGAUCUCGCCACUUACGCUUAUCAUAGGUCGAGCGAGCCGCCAGCUUCCAAGCCAAAUCCGUCAGGUCGGGGACCUCGUAUGGCAUCCACGGGGUUGCUGCAAAAAAGAAAAAGAAAGUGUAUUUACAGAAUCCGUCUCCACUAUGAGAAAAAACUAUAAAAACACAAGUGUACCACUUACGUGUGACAUUCCAUUUCUUAGGAAACGGCAGGAACUCCACGAGGAUAACAUCGACAGUCCUUACUUAGACAAAUCGAUCCAUCCACCCUCGGUCCCCAUCUUCUUCAUCAUCGACAACAAAGGGCCUGGUGGAUCAAUAUCGCAAAGCUAUCAGGCCUCAACAAUGAAAGGGUCAGUACAAUCUGAUGAGAUGGCUAAAGGUGAACUCGAGCCUAGCUUCUUUCGCAAAUAACCUCAUCAUCAGUACUAUCCUCCAGAACAAUGGGUGAACCUGUGCCAGGGUAGGCCAAUAUCGUCGACAGAAGUCAAACACGACUCUAUCGAGAGGGCCCAACAUGAAGGGGUAAGUGUAUAUGUGUAAACACCUCUCUGUAUGAGCCGUGAAAGAUGUUCUCUUCUGGGGAAGGUACCUGCAGUACCACCUUUUCUCCCCAUCCACAGUCUCUUCUCACUGCCUCGAGGUGUUCCUCUCCUAUUGAUGAAGUGAACCUUGAUGCAUGAUCCCAAUGACCCCCGACAUUGGGAUAUCUCUCUAAUGAAAAGUCCCUCAUAGAGACAAAGCAUCUUGAGGUUGGCUCGCCAAACGUCGGUGGUGUACCACCGAUUGAGCGGGAAGAAGAGGCAGGACCCUCCUCUUCUUGGUGAACGGAUUCGGGCAUAGCAACCAUGGCUAUUAUAAAACAAUAGAAGGAAGAUGAAAACUCAGGUGAAAGCUUUGAAUUAAAAUGAUGGAAAGGCUAACGCAAGGAAGAAGAACUCUAUGAAAAGGGAUAGCGACUCAAAAUAGCGGAAUCUCCAAAAAGGGAGGAAGCAAACUCAUAUAUAUAUCAAUCGGCGACUGUCCGCCUACUCUAAAGGCUAAUUACUUCUGACUAGGCCAUUAUCACUUUCGGAAAAAUGUACCAAUGGGCCAUCCCGGGAGCUUCAUGGUCAUGCCAUACAAGUAAAGUUGUCGAACAACGUUCGAGGGGUCAGAGAUUCCCGUAUCGAUCCAGCAUCGAGAUGAUGCCCAAUCUCGAUGAUCUCUGCUACCAUAACUAUAGGGUCUAAGGAGCCAUUAAUAUCAAUCUAAGUUUCGAGGUGGUGUCCGACCUCGAGGAUCUUUGUCAAAGUGGAUAAAAGCUCUAAGGAGUUUUCGACACCAAUUUAGCCUCGAGAUGGUGCCCGAUCUCGAGGACCUUGGUAUUACAUGUCACACCCCCUGUUUUACAACCUCACUACCCUCUUAAAUAAAUAAAAGGGAUUUGUAAAGCUCAAAAGGUUUUCAAUUAUGAAAGUGACAAAGGAUUGUAUUUCAAAAGAUAUUUCCGAGUCGCCACCUAACAUUGGUUUCGGUGUGCCAGGUCACUAUUUUUUAAAAAUAAGUUUUCUGUUAAAAUACUUUGGACUCCAAAACUAAGUUCGCACUAGAGAUUUGGGUAAAGGGGGUUCAUUUGACUCGGGGAGAAGGUGUUAGGCACUCCCCAAGUCCCGUGAAGCUCACGGUUGCGUACUCAAUCUAGUUGGCUUUUAAAAUAUUCAAAUUGAGGUAAAAUCACAAAAAGAAAAAUAAACACAAAAGAGGCCCGAGGUCGUCCCCACCUAAAUAAAAGAAAUAGAAAAAUGAAAAUAAAGAUACUACAAGUUCUAUUUUCGGUCUCCGAAUACAAAUACUAUGGGGCAUACCCCGGAUAAAUUUAUACAAAGUCUACAGGGCAUACCCCGGAUAAAUUUAACUAAAUGGGGUGACCUCUCAAAAUUAAACAAACAAAAUCCUAAAGUUUGUCUAUCCAAGCGUGGUUGGUCUAUAACAUAUUACUACCAAACCCAUGUAGGCAAAAAUACAAAUAAAAACAAAAUUAAGUCCAUUCCCCAAUUUCGUCUCAGGCCCAACAUUUGUAUCUUUUUAAUAUCCUUUUUAAUAUCUUUAAUUGAGUUCUUUUCUCCAGCCAAACAAUCAUUUGAAUCUCAAACAGUUGUUCAACUCUCCUUAAUUAAGUUCAAACCUCCACUGCCCGUUUAUCUUAUUUACUUAAGAAGUAAUUACCAAAAAAACAAAAACAAAAAAAGUAGAACGAUCAAUCAAAUAAAGGAACUGAACCCAAAGAUUUGUUUGAGCAGAAUAUUUCAAUAAUAGACACUAACAAACAAACAUGACACUCACGAAAUUAAUCAACAAAAUAAUAUCACCAAGUAAUCGCGUACAUGAAACUAAAGAAGAGUAAAUAGAUAAGAAAAAGAUAAGAGUGGACCUCAAAUUAGCAAAUGGUCACCUUCGAUAACUGGACUGAAAGUCGAACAAUGUGUAUUAUUAAACAAAUCUAAAAAUGAGCAAGGAACAGCUAUCAGACCUUCGAACUAAGAACGGAACCAACGAACAGACCACCUAUCAAUAGUGAAACUACACCGGCGACUUCGACGGAACUCAAGCUCGAAAUUGAGUCGGUGAAGGGACUUUUGGCUAAAACAGUAGUGGUACCGCCAUCUCUGAGUUCUUCCGUCACUUUGCUCUAUCCGUGCCUGUGUGUGCGUGUGUCUUUUUUUGGUGUCGAAUUCCGACGAGAUGGCCAAAGGUGGGCGGUUGGAGAUGGGGUAUGCGGUUGUCUCUUGGGGUAGAGGAGUUAGGGUUGAUUUUGUGGUGAAGAGAGAGGAAUUCUGCAGCUAAAUGGUCUUGGAGAUGAAGAAGAAAGGUUGGUCGUUGCUAGCUCUUGAAGGCGUGCGGCGCUAGGGAUUUUUUUUCCGUCUCUCCCCUCUCUCUAAGUGAUGUGUAUGGGCCAUUUAUAUAAUAUCUUACCAUGGACUGUGUGUGCUUGGAAAAGAAGUAAAGAUCUGUCUAGAAAAUAUGUGGUCCCCACAAUAUAAAAAAUGAAAUCUCAAUAUGGUGGUGCAGUGAAUUCCUUACUGCCUAGAGAAAAGUAAUUUGUAUGUAAAUAAAAAAUGAAAUGCAUUACUAAUGUGGUGUACAGGAAAUUGGCGUGAGUGAUCUUAUAAAAAAUUUUUAGAAAGAAAGUUUGUUAUCCAUGAUAAGAUGGAAUCUUAGCAAUUUUAAAAGAAAUUUUGUUAGUUCCUCCUUACCCCAAAAUGUUGAAAUAAGAUUAAACCAACUACUUUUAUUUCAAAGAAGCUAAAAUAGCACUACAACAAAACUACUACUAAUAUAAUAAAACUUAAAAACAUGUGACUAUUUUUUGGUAAUUUUCAAUUUCACUAGUAAGAUAAACUUAAAAUUUGCUAGACAAAAAAUAAUAAUUAUCUAAAAAAAGUAUUAAAGAAAGAAAAAAAACAAAUUAGCUAUACUAAAGAAAUCAGAAUACUAUUAAAUAACUACUAUUAAUAACUAAAUUAUGUAAAGAAUAUUUUUUUUGAAGCCUUGCUUUUUUAUCUUUUGAAGAACAAAAUGUCAAAACUAUUUUAGUAUUUUUAGUUUUAUUGAAAGUAUGAUAAAUUAAAAGUAACUAGAUAAAAUACUAAUUAACUAGAAUAAAGGAAAAUAUUUUUGUGAUUUUCAUUCUUUUAGAUAAAGUAAAGCAAAAGAGUCAAAACUAGUUUAAAUAGCAAUAUUAGACCUAAACUAAAUAUCUAAACACUAAAAUGUGUAAAAUUUCGAGGAGGGUCAAAAUUACAUGUCUACAGCUGCCCCUCUUUGACUAGAAACACGAAGAGUUUUUAGACAAAGAACGACGAGACAGGUUUUUUGACUCGACCCUUAUUUAGAGGGACCAAAAACUAAAAGAGGGGAAAAUGUGACCGAGCCCUAGUAUCUGAGCUGCCUACAUAUCCUUGGCUAUAAAGGAAUUAGGCCAUGUGUAGUCCAGAGGUAGGAAUAGUGAUGGAGUGUACCGAGGUAGAGACCCGAUUGAGGUGCCGUCGAAGUUCCGAUCUACGGUCCGGUUAUUACAUCAAAUCAAAAUCUAAAAGAACUAAGCAAGCCUAUCAGCUAUGAGUUACAAGAUCCCCAUCUACAAGUCUACUGAAGCUUGAUCUUGAGUCUUGAAUGGUUCUUCAUGUAGACUUUUUGAUUUGAAGCUUGAUGCUUGCUAGCUACAGGUAUUGAUUCAUUCCUCCACGACUUCUUUGGAUCAAGACCGGGCAUGCAGUGCUCAUAACUUCAACCAUGUCUUGAGCAGUUCACAUCUUUCACCUGUUUCUGCAUUUUGGAUUCACUUCUCUCUUUUUUUCUUUCUUUUAUUCUGGAUUGAGACUACUUCUGUUGGUCAUCUCGGACUGUUGAUUCGCAUUUUUGCCGCGAGCUUCUGCUACUUCUAACUUGAAUUAAAUUCUGAAAUGACUUCCCUUGUUUUUGAGGUGGGCGCCUGCUAUUGACUUGAAAUUUGAAGUGACUCUGAAAAGAACUUGAAAUGGAUUCCCUCGUUCUCCAGGUGGGCGCCUACGACUUUCUUGAAACUUGAAAUGAAUUCUCUCGUUCUCCAGGUGGGCGCAUGCGAUCAAAACAACAAAAUAAACAAAAUUUUCUGCCUUAGUUUGCACUAGGAAGAUCUGUGAGUUGUUAGCAAAAUCGUAAACCACUUAUGCUAUUGAUGCAAUGAUGAGAGUAAGCUAAAGACUCGACUAGGAUGUGCGUCUCCUGUAAGUAAAACCAAUAAACUUUGACUAGCAAAUACGUCUGCUAAUAAUAAAACCUGAAUGACCCAAACUAGGAAGUGCGUCUCCUGGGGAUGAAACUUGAAUGAACCAAAACUAGGAAGUGCGUCUCAUAUGGGUAAACUCUUAAUUUAGGAAGUGCUUCUCCUAAAACAAAUAUAACUUGAAAACCCUAGACUAGGAAGUGCAUCUCCUAGAGGUAAAACUUCAAUGAUUCAAAUUAGGAAGUGUGUCUCAUAGGAAUGAACUUAAAUGACCCAAAACUAGGAAGUGCGUCUCCUAGGGGUGAAACUUCAAUGAAUCAAACUAGGAAGUGCGUCUCCUAGGAAUGAACUUAAAUGACCCAAAUCUAAGAAGUGCGUCUCCUAGGGAUGAAACUUGAAUGAACCAAAACUAGGAAGUGCGUCUCCUCGGGGUAAAACAUGAAUGACUCAANN